RNAcentral lists this ribosomal RNA (920 nucleotides) under Escherichia coli. Its description in RNAcentral is "partial 23S ribosomal RNA". It matches the Rfam family "Bacterial large subunit ribosomal RNA", at positions 375 to 1299 of the family's 2925-position model. The record is from RNAcentral. Lineage: Bacteria; Pseudomonadati; Pseudomonadota; Gammaproteobacteria; Enterobacterales; Enterobacteriaceae.
GUACACAAAAAUGCACAUACUGUGAGCUCGAUGAGUAGGGCGGGACACGUGGUAUCCUGUCUGAAUAUGGGGGGACCAUCCUCCAAGGCUAAAUACUCCUGACUGACCGAUAGUGAACCAGUACCGUGAGGGAAAGGCGAAAAGAACCCCGGCGAGGGGAGUGAAAAAGAACCUGAAACCGUGUACGUACAAGCAGUGGGAGCCUCUUAAUGGGGUGACUGCGUACCUUUUGUAUAAUGGGUCAGCGACUUAUAUUCUGUAGCAAGGUUAACCGAAUAGGGGAGCCGAAGGGAAACCGAGUCUUAACUGGGCGUUAAGUUGCAGGGUAUAGACCCGAAACCCGGUGAUCUAGCCAUGGGCAGGUUGAAGGUUGGGUAACACUAACUGGAGGACCGAACCGACUAAUGUUGAAAAAUUAGCGGAUGACUUGUGGCUGGGGGUGAAAGGCCAAUCAAACCGGGAGAUAGCUGGUUCUCCCCGAAAGCUAUUUAGGUAGCGCCUCGUGAAUUCAUCUCCGGGGGUAGAGCACUGUUUCGGCAAGGGGGUCAUCCCGACUUACCAACCCGAUGCAAACUGCGAAUACCGGAGAAUGUUAUCACGGGAGACACACGGCGGGUGCUAACGUCCGUCGUGAAGAGGGAAACAACCCAGACCGCCAGCUAAGGUCCCAAAGUCAUGGUUAAGUGGGAAACGAUGUGGGAAGGCCCAGACAGCCAGGAUGUUGGCUUAGAAGCAGCCAUCAUUUAAAGAAAGCGUAAUAGCUCACUGGUCGAGUCGGCCUGCGCGGAAGAUGUAACGGGGCUAAACCAUGCACCGAAGCUGCGGCAGCGACACUAUGUGUUGUUGGGUAGGGGAGCGUUCUGUAAGCCUGUGAAGGUGUACUGUGAGGUAUGCUGGAGGUAUCAGAAGUGCGAAUGCUG